UAUAACAUUGUCAUGGAAAAGAUUCUUCAUGGUGGACUACAAAAAUUUCGACAUUAUCAGAAGUGGGAGGAGAAUGAAGAGUUGCGUAUUUGCAAGAAAGGAAGGGGCCUAAGAGUUGAGAUAAUCCUGGAAAACAAAGAUAUCAAGUGGAUUGCUAAUGCUUUAGUAAAUUUUUAUUGGAGGAAGGGUGGUAAAUCUUAGGAAAAACAAAU
RNAcentral lists this long non-coding RNA (212 nucleotides) under Carica papaya (papaya). RNAcentral's name for it is "long non-coding RNA (CPAP_LNC000645)". Lineage: Eukaryota; Viridiplantae; Streptophyta; Magnoliopsida; Brassicales; Caricaceae. The record is from RNAcentral.